This 3965-nucleotide long non-coding RNA is filed under the name Homo sapiens (human). RNAcentral's name for it is "HSALNT0341570". Lineage: Eukaryota; Metazoa; Chordata; Mammalia; Primates; Hominidae. The record is from RNAcentral.
CUGAAGUGAUCUGCCCACCUCGGCUUCCCAAAGUGCUGGGACUGCAGGUGUGAGCCACUGCGCCUGGCCCCUUCAGGUGGGUUUUGAGGCUUCACGUUGCUGCUGCAAUAAAUUACCACACACUUAGUGGCUUAAAACAGCACAGAGGUAUUCCCUUACAUUUCUGAAGGCCAGAAUUCUAAAAUCAGUCCCACUGAGUCAAGGUGGGAGCAGGGUCAGUGCCUUCCCAGGCUCUGCGGGAGAAUCUGUUUCCUGGCCCUGGAGGCGGCCUGUACUCCUUAGCUUGUGCUGCCCUUCUGGAAUGACUCGAGUUUCCUGCUUUCAUCACUACACCUCCCACCGCUCUCCAUCACCUGCUGUGCUCUUACGAGGAUCCAGCUGAGACAUGUUUUAGGAAGUUUGCUAAAAGACCCCUGGAGACGUCCUCAUUGUGGCCUCCCUGCUGUUGUGUUUAAUUUGGUUGAUCUUCUCUGCCCUCCUGCUUUUCAGAAUUAAAAGGCUAAAAAGAGUUUUCAGAGAAAUGGAAUAAUUGUAUUGCUGAUCUACGUAAACAAGUUGAAGAAUUGUCUGAAAGAAAAUAUGGUGUGUCUGAACUGGAAAAGUCCUGUGAUAGUUUGUUCAUGAGCAUUUACACAAUGGAGUUACUGUUCAUCAUGGGGGUACUGUGGACAAGCCCAGGGCUGCUGACAUAAUCUUAUGAAUUCAACACAUGAAGAUUUACAACUUGAUAAACCAGCUUCAGGAGAUCAGAACUUCUUACAAUACAACUGAUGUUACUCAGCCUAGAACAAAUACAACAGGGAUUGUGCUGCAUUCUGACUUAGGUUCUGCCAUCGAACACAGAAUGCCCUGAUCCUUAGAGGCAGAGGCAGCUCUUCAGCCUAUGGGAAAACUGUGGAUUUAGUUACUCCACUCUGCCAUGUCCUUCCACCACUGCCUGCACAUUUGAGACCAAGGAUAGAGAUUGGGAAAAAUCCAUAGUUCUCCUGACUCAGAGUUUGGCUCCGGCACUCUCAUUUCAGCCAUAGCUGCAGACAAAGCACACGACUGCUGGGCACUGUGGCUCAAGAGAAGGGGGAGAUGCAGGAAGAAGAUGAGCCUUAAGUCUGAACACUGAGGAAUUCAUGUGCAUCAGUCAGACCUCCUGUGCAAGGAAGGAUGUGGUUACUACGGCAACCCUGCCUGGCAGGGUUUCUGCUCCAAGUGCUGGAGGGAAGAGUACCACAAAGCCAGGCAGAAGGAGAUUCAGGAGGACUGGGAGCUGGCGGAGCGACUCCAGUGGGAGGAAGAGGCCUUUGCCAGCAGUCAGAGCAGCCAAGGGGCCCAAUCCCUCACAUUCUCCAAGUUUGAAGGAAAGAAAACCAACGAGAAGACCCACGAGGUUACCACAGUGAAGAAAUCUUCAGUGCGUCUUCCAGGGUCGGAUCAAAGAAGGAAAUUCAGGAAGCAAAAGCCAGUCCUUCCAUAAACCGGCGAACCAGCAUUGAAACGGAUAGAGUGUCUAAGGAGUUCAUAGAAUUUCUCAAGACCUUCCACAAGACAGGCCAAGAAAUCUAUAAACAGACCAAGCUGUUUUUGGAAGGGAUGCAUUACAAAAGGUGCCUCCAGAAAGGGUUGAGAAGAUAAUGGAUCAGAUUGAAAAGUACAUCAUGACUCAUCUCUGUAAAUAUGCGUUCUGUCCAGAACCCCAGUGAGCCUGGAAGACUGGGUGCUAUGGGAAAUGUCAUCAAUCCAAUGCUAGUGAAAGAUGUGACUGGGGAAUGCUGAAAAAUGCGCACCCCUGGGAGGAAUGAGGAAAGAUGACAUCCACUGACUUGUUAUUUUUUUGAGAAGGAGUCUUGCUCUGUUGCCCAGGCUGGAGUGUGGUGGCACGAUCUCGGCUCACUGAUGAUGAGAAGAAAGAUCUUGCCAUUCAAAAGAGGAUCAGAGUGGAAGCUUCUCUGUGGUGUCAGAAAGACGAGGAAUGUGGUGACCUCACCUAUCCAUCUCCCUCAAGGCAGCUUUUGUUUUUCUGCAGUGACCGUACUUGCAAUAAUUAAACAUAGUUGGUCAUUUAAAAUACAUCUCUGAUACUCUCGUCAAAGGUGGAGCCCAGUCCCUAUCGCCUUGAGUGAGGGCUGGGUUACGUGAUUCCCUUCUGACAGAUAGGAAAAAGCAAAAGUGAUGGCUUGCAACUUUGCAAACUACAUCAUAAAAGGUACUGUGGCUUCCUCCUUGCUCACUCUUUGAUUACUCACUUGGGAAAGCCAGCUGUCACACCAUGACACCUAAGCAGCCUGUAGAGAGGCUCAUGUAACAGGAACUGAGGCCUCCUGUCAGCAGUCACAUGAGGGAGCCAUCUUGGAAACAGGCUUUAGGUGACUGCAGUCUCAGUGGACAGCUUGAGUGCAAUGUCAUGAGACACCCUGAGCCCAAAUGACCCAGCUAUGCCACUCCUGAAUUCCUGACCCACAGAAAUGGAGAUCCUAACUUAAGUUCUUGGACUCACUGAGGCAGUAAAAGAACCAUAUCCUGUGUUUGAAUCAAAUCCCAAGUUCCUGUACGUAGAAGGUUUGCCAGACAGGAUUCCCUUUCGAAGCCCUCCUGGUUUGGAAUUCCAUGACUUGAAAGGAUCGUCCAUGGGAGUAAUAAAAUCAAAUUUGUUGGUAAAAAACCUGAACUGGUUAUUUCCUACUUGCCUCCUGGAGUUGCUAAUAAAAUAAACACUAAAGCUUCGCAGUUUCUAAAAAGACCAUGAAGCCCUGAGAGUAAUGAAAAGGUUCCUGAAAUUGAGGUCACUGUGGAAGGAGAAUCUAAUGCCUGAUGAUCUGUCACUAUCUCCCAUCACCCCCAGAUGGGACCAUCUAGUUGCAGGAAAAGAAGGUCAAGACUCCCAGUCAUUCUACAUUAUGCCUCAGCCAAGAUGUCUCACCCCACUCUCUCUGAUGCAACAAGAAGCCCCUGGAGAACGUUUCAGUCCCAUUUUGUACUUCUGUCAUGUGCUCAUCACAGUCUGGUGGAAUUUAAAUGACCUCUUAUCAAGAUGGAUAAACCCAAGUUUCCCAGUGCUGGAAUAUAGAAAAUGGAUGGACAAGUAAGUCCCACUCAGCACCCAUAGCCCAGACAUGGGGACCUCAACACACCUGGGCCCCAGACAUCACCUUUCAUUCCGAGGCAUAUGCCAUUCAAGCUAAGGGUGCUACACUUGACCACUGCGGCAGUAUAGAUGAGUCUGAAGAAUGGUAUGGGAUGGAUACUUACGAAUGCACUCGAGCAGGGGUCUCCAUCCACAGGGCCACAGAGCCAGAGGUGAGCAGCAGCUGGAUCUACCAUGAAAGACUUCAGAGUCCAGGAAGAGAGACUGAUUGGGCAACAUGUUAUUCAGUUACAAAAAGACUUGGACUAUGACUCAAAAAUGAUCAAAUAAUAGUGCAUGCAUCCAAUGCAAUAAGAAGCACUUCUGGAGGGUGAGAGAAGCAUCCAGUUAAGGUGACAUUGAAGCUGGGUCCUGAAAGAUGAGGAAGAAUUGUAUGAGAGUGGGCAGAGAAGGGGGAGGUGGAGGGAUGGGGAAUGGGCUGAGAUGGAGUGAGCUGCUCAAGCAGGGAAACCAGCACUGUAAAGACCUGGUCAAUAAAGAUGGCACAUUUUAUUCAGGGAAUGGUGAAUUAAUUGUGGCAGGAAUGCUUUGGAGAGAGAGUAAUUUGCUUGUAUGGAAUUUUGCCCAAGAGACCUCAUUACAGUUUCUAAUCUUUUGAUGUUAUCGUCUAUCACUGUCCUUGUCAGAUAGUUUGGAAUAGGUAUAAUGAUCACAAUAACAUCAAGCAUAAUAUUUCAUUAAUUCUCACAAAAUCACAGGUAGGUGCCACAGUUAUCCCCAUUUUGUGAAUGAAGUGAUGAAGACUUAGGAAUGAUGAGUGAUUGCCCAAGCUCACCUGGAUAUUAAGAGGUCUUGCUCUGUUGUCCAGGCUGGAAUGUGGUAGUGCUAU